CGCGGCCGAGCGGCCUCGGCUGCGCUGGGGCUGCGCGGGGCGGGAGGGGCCCGGGGCAGCCUCCGCCCUGUCCCCGCCCCGGGGCAUCCCCGGCACUGGGGCGGCCCCGGGGGAAGCGCGGAAAUGCCGCCUCGGCUCCCGAGAGCGCAGCGCUCCUCGGGCAGCGCGGGGUGCGCUGGAAAGGGCUCUGGCUGCGAGGCUCGCACGGGCGCUGCAGGGAAGGGAAAGUGAAGGCACCGCCGGGACAUCGGUCUGGAGGCUCGGAAGGAUGGAAAGCCUCUGUGCAGCAAACAGCACUUUUGCUGUGGAGCUGUUAAGAAAGCUGUGUGAGAAGAAGAGUGGGCAGAAUGUGUUCUUUUCACCAUUUAGUAUUUCUUCUGCUUUGUCUAUGGUUUUGCUGGGUUCAAGAGGUAGCACUGAAGGCCAGAUAAGCAAGGUGCUUUCUCUGAAGAACACCCAGGAUGCUCACAAUGGGUAUCAAUCCCUUCUCUCUGAAAUCAAUGAUCCAAACACCAAAUACAUCCUGAGGACUGCAAACCGGCUCUAUGGAGAAAAGACCUUUGAGUUUCUUCC
This is a long non-coding RNA of Passer montanus (Eurasian tree sparrow), 573 nucleotides long. RefSeq lists it as uncharacterized. The record is from RefSeq and is a predicted model, not a curated record. The transcript has 3 exons. NCBI's taxonomy places the organism in Eukaryota, Metazoa, Chordata, Aves, Passeriformes, Passeridae.